Molecule: long non-coding RNA, 854 nt
Organism: Haliotis rufescens (red abalone)
Lineage: Eukaryota; Metazoa; Mollusca; Gastropoda; Lepetellida; Haliotidae
Exons: 2
Source: RefSeq, a predicted model, not a curated record
GUGAAAAAACACUGUCCACUCAUUCCAACCGCAUUACCCAAUUAACAUGUUGUUACGCGUGAAAAAAAUAGUUCUGUUAAAAAACUGUAAAGAUCACUUUAUUGCAGUUAUAUUUCUGUCGGAUUUACACAGCGUACACUAUCUAGCAUUGAUAAAGAAGACGGGUUUCCAAAAAGGUUCAUCAGGUUACUUAAUCAAACCUUGUUUUGACAAGAUCUCGUCACUGACAGACAGCCCCCGUGGUGCAUCGGCAGAUACAUGCAUUUCACAUUGAGAAGAGGAAACACGGAAAACCUGUCAAUUUUUUUAUGUGUCAUUUGACAAAAAUGCCAAAACCUAUAACAACAACAUAGACGGAAUGUACAGAAGUCUUGUUUGUUAGAGAAAAGCUACGAAAAGAAUGUAAACUUUGAAAAGUACGAUUGCUGUCACUGUGUCGGAAUGAAUGACCCGACUUGACCCAGAUAUGAGACAGCCGAAACCAGAAAUGACAAGAGAACCGGUUACAGUUUAAUCCGGACAACAAGUUUAAUGAACAUCGUGUGUGAUUUGAGACAAGUGUCAAUGAUGGGAAACACGUGCAUGUGGGAUUUCAGGAGGACUUGUCAAACGCGGAGUGGACAGUCAGAUGACGAGAGUUUGUUGAUAUUUUGAUGUGAAUGUUGUGAUUCAUAAUGGUCGAAUACCUGUUGAUAGACAAACACGGUAUCUGGCAUGGAGACUUGGUGCUAAGCUGUCCGCAUUCACGGAGUUCAUUUAGUUCAAUAUCGGACACAGGAUCAGCUUGCUGGGUUUUCGAUGUCAUCAUCGUUCACAAAGGCAAACCUGUCUAUACAAAGUCCAGUUUUUGGAUU